This 306-nucleotide ribosomal RNA is filed under the name Pseudomonas sp. RNAcentral's name for it is "partial 23S ribosomal RNA". It matches the Rfam family "Bacterial large subunit ribosomal RNA", at positions 2633 to 2925 of the family's 2925-position model. The record is from RNAcentral. Lineage: Bacteria; Pseudomonadati; Pseudomonadota; Gammaproteobacteria; Pseudomonadales; Pseudomonadaceae.
GGUCCCUAUCUUCCGUGGGCGCUGCAGAUUUGAGGAAGCCUGCUCCUAGUACGAGAGGACCGGAGUGGACGCACCUCUGGUGUACCUGUUGUCACGCCAGUGGCAUCGCAGGGUAGCUAAGUGCGGAAGAGAUAACCGCUGAAAGCAUCUAAGCGGGAAACUCGUUUCAAGAUGAGAUCUGCCGGGGCCUUGAGCCCCCUGAAGAGUCGUUCAAGACCAGGACGUUGAUAGGCUGGGUGUGGAAGCGUAGCAAUGCGUUAAGCUAACCAGUACUAAUUGCUCGUGCGGCUUGACCCUAUAACUUUG